Non-coding RNA from Parelaphostrongylus tenuis, 76 nucleotides. Lineage: Eukaryota; Metazoa; Nematoda; Chromadorea; Rhabditida; Metastrongylidae. The record is from the annotation of a GenBank genome assembly.
GUCUCGGUGGUGUAGUGGCAUAGCACGCGUCCCUGGCUAGGAUGAAACGCAGGUUCGAUUCUCGCCUGAGGUCACG